Molecule: unclassified non-coding RNA, 152 nt
Filed under: uncultured Sordariomycetes
Lineage: Eukaryota; Fungi; Ascomycota; Sordariomycetes
Description: sequence contains ITS1
Source: RNAcentral
UCGAGUUUACAACUCCCAAACCCCUGUGAACCAUACCAUCGUUGCUUCGGCGGGAUCGUCCCGGCGCCUCUGGCCCGGACCCAGGCGCCCGCCGGAGACCCAAACUCUUGACUUUUAGAGAUUUCUUCUGAGUAACACAAGUAAAUAAAUUA